This 546-nucleotide ribosomal RNA is filed under the name uncultured bacterium. RNAcentral's name for it is "partial 16S ribosomal RNA". It matches the Rfam family "Bacterial small subunit ribosomal RNA", at positions 355 to 907 of the family's 1533-position model. The record is from RNAcentral.
UGGGGAAUAUUGCACAAUGGGCGAAAGCCUGAUGCAGCAACGCCGCGUGAGUGAUGAAGGCCUUCGGGUUGUAAAGCUCUGUCUUUUGGGACGAUAAUGACGGGUACCAAAGGCAGGAAGCCACGGCUAACUACGUGCCAGCAGCCGCGGUAAUACGUAGGUGGCAAGCGUUGUCCGGAUUUACUGGGCGUAAAGGAUGCGUAGGCGGAUUUUUAAGUGAGAUGGUGAAAAUACCCGGGCUUAACUUGGGUGCUGCACUUCAAACUGGGAAUCGUAGAGUGCGGGAGAGGAGAAUGGAAUUCCUAGUGUAGCGGUGAAAUGCAGUAGAGAUUAGGAAGAACACCAGUGGCGAAGGCGAUUCUCUGGACCGUAACUGACGCUGAGGCAUGAAGGCGUGGGUAGCAAACAGGGAUUAGAUACCCUGGUAGUCCACGCCGUAAACGAUGAGUACUAGGUGUAGGAGGUAUCGACCCCUUCGUGUGCCGCAGUUAACACAAUAAGUACUCCGCCUGGGAAGUGACGAUCGCAAGAUUAAAAACUUAAAGG